GAUGAAGAACGUAGCGAAAUGCGAUAAGUAAUGUGAAUUGCAGAAUUCAGUGAAUCAUCGAAUCUUUGAACGCACAUUGCGCCCCCUGGUAUUCCGGGGGGCAUGCCUGUCCGAGCGUCAUUACAACCCCCAAGCUCAGCUUGGUGUUGGGCCCCGCCGCCCCGGCGGGCCCUAAAGUCAGUGGCGGUGCCGUCCGGCUCCGAGCGUAGUAAUUCUUCUCGCUCUGGAGGUCCGGUCGUGUGCUCGCCAGCAACCCCCAAUUUUUUUCAGGUUGACCUCGGAUCAGGUAGGGAUACCCGCUGAACUUAAGCAUAUCAAUAAGCGGAGGA
This 329-nucleotide unclassified non-coding RNA is filed under the name soil metagenome. RNAcentral describes it as "partial contains 5.8S ribosomal RNA, internal transcribed spacer 2, and large subunit ribosomal RNA". The stretch from base 1 to 120 matches the Rfam family "5.8S ribosomal RNA", at positions 35 to 154 of the family's 154-position model. The record is from RNAcentral.